RNAcentral lists this long non-coding RNA (377 nucleotides) under Homo sapiens (human). Its description in RNAcentral is "non-protein coding LINC01397:5". Lineage: Eukaryota; Metazoa; Chordata; Mammalia; Primates; Hominidae. The record is from RNAcentral.
GGGGAGGAUCUGGCUGGUUUAAUGGUGAUUCGAUGCAAAAACCGUUGAUUCCAUUCUGAUGUACUCAAGAACAGAGAUGGCUGGAGACAGAGACAAGGAGAGUCAGAAAGCGACAGAAAAAUGAUUCUUCAAGGCGAAUGACUCGAAAUGGAGAUUUCUUCUAACACCGCGUGAUCACCGACAACUUUUGCAGGACGGGAUGAAACUCCUCUGGGUUUCCAGUCAGAUGUGCGAGUGGGCUCUCUUUAAAUUAUAAACCUGCAGUCUAACAGAGCCUUCAAGGUUAUGGCCAUGAGAAAUGUGAGUGGAGAUAAAACCUCACAUCUUGAGGAUUAACAAGGAGAAUUUUUUAGUAGCAAAAUUAUAUUCUCUUUCAU